ACGCACGCUGGCGGCGUGCUUAACCCCUGCCAGUCGAACGGAAAGGCCCCCUUGUGGGGUACUCGAGUGGCGAACGGGUGAGUAACACGUGAGUAACCUACCCUUGACUUUGGGAUAACUUCAGGAAACUGGGGCUAAUACCGGAUAGGAGCUCCUGCUGCAUGGUGGGGGUUGGAAAGUUUCGGCGGUUGGGGAUGGACUCGCGGCUUAUCAGCUUGUUGGUGGGGUAGUGGCUCACCAAGGCUUUGACGGGUAGCCGGCCUGAGAGGGUGACCGGCCACAUUGGGACUGAGAUACGGCCCAGACUCCUACGGGAGGCAGCAGUGGGGAAUAUUGCACAAUGGGCGGAAGCCUGAUGCAGCAACGCCGCGUGCGGGAUGACGGCCUUCGGGUUGUAAACCGCUUUCGCCUGUGACGAAGCGUGAGUGACGGUAAUGGGUAAAGAAGCACCGGCUAACUACGUG
Molecule: ribosomal RNA, 464 nt
Filed under: uncultured bacterium
Lineage: Bacteria
Description: partial 16S ribosomal RNA
Rfam family: Bacterial small subunit ribosomal RNA
Source: RNAcentral